This 100-nucleotide unclassified non-coding RNA is filed under the name uncultured fungus. RNAcentral describes it as "sequence contains ITS1". Lineage: Eukaryota; Fungi. The record is from RNAcentral.
UCGAUUAUUUUUGUUUUGACUAUAAAAUUAUUGUUUGCUGUGUAAAUUUCACAAAUAUUUAUAAUUCUUAAUGAUCCUUCCGCAGGUUCACCUACGGAAA